This 255-nucleotide unclassified non-coding RNA is filed under the name Hevea brasiliensis (rubber tree). The record is from RNAcentral. Lineage: Eukaryota; Viridiplantae; Streptophyta; Magnoliopsida; Malpighiales; Euphorbiaceae.
AAUAACUCAUUCCAGGUGAGAUUAUUGUGUAAUUUGUAAAAUCUCUGGCUACCUGUCAAAUCUUCUCUGAAACACAUUGCCCAAUUUUGCAUGAGUUAUUACUUUCUUACUAAUUUUCUUGAACAAUUUUCUAUGAUCUGUUUUUGCAUGAUUUUCUCCCCUUCAAUAUAUCUGCCAAAACUUUGUCAUGUUUGCUUGUGAAUUAUUCUGAAUUCCUUCCUGCAUAUGCUACAGGUUGAUACUGUUGCCUACCAU